AUUGAACGCUGGCGGCAGGCCUAACACAUGCAAGUCGAGCGGAUGAAGGGAGCUUGCUCCUGGAUUCAGCGGCGGACGGGUGAGUAAUGCCUAGGAAUCUGCCUGGUAGUGGGGGAUAACGUCCGGAAACGGGCGCUAAUACCGCAUACGUCCUGAGGGAGAAAGUGGGGGAGCUUCGGACCUCACGCUAUCAGAUGAGCCUAGGUCGGAUUAGCUAGUUGGUGGGGUAAAGGCCUACCAAGGCGACGAUCCGUAACUGGUCUGAGAGGAGGAGCAGUCACACUGGAGCUGAGACACGGUCCAGACUCCUGCGGUAGGCAGCAGUGGGGAAUAUUGGACAAUGGGCGAAAGCCUGAUCCAGCCAUGCCGCGUGUGUGAAGAAGGUCUUCGGAUUGUAAAGCACUUUAAGUUGGGAGGAAGGGCAGUAAGUUAAUACCUUGCUGUUUUGACGUUACCAACAGAAUAAGCACCGGCUAACUUCGUG
Molecule: ribosomal RNA, 484 nt
Filed under: uncultured bacterium
Lineage: Bacteria
Description: partial 16S ribosomal RNA
Rfam family: Bacterial small subunit ribosomal RNA
Source: RNAcentral